AGACCGGGGUCAUUAGGCUAUAGGGGUAAGUAGAUUAAUCGAAGCUACGUUGCAAACAAAUAGCGCGAGACUCGCGUAAACGUGUCUGAGCACGCAGCAGUGACUGCCGCUCAGUCUGUUGUGAUAUCGCGAGGCAGACGCAUCUUUCAAAAAAGUUACGCUACAAUUUAAAAAAAUCGAACACCAAAUCAUGAGGACGUACAAGCGAAAGACAGAUAAAGGAAAUAUUCUGAAGGACAUUAUGGAAUUUGCAUGUAAAGAAGUAAUUUUAGAAGGAAAAAGCAUUCGUUCUUCAGGAUUGAAAUAUAAUAUUCCAUAUAAAACCUUGCAUCGAUAUGUUACAAAAUUAAAAGCUACAGGAGAAGAUUCCAGUCAAGUAUCGAAUAUUCAAUUAACUCAUGUAGGUUAUAUCAAAAGUCGUCAAAUUUUGAAUGAUACGGAAGAAAUUGCUUUAGUGGAAUAUGUUAAAAAAGCAGCAGAUAUUUAUUAUGGUUUAACACCCAGAGAAGUAAGAAAAUUGGCUUAUCAAUUUGCAAUAAAAAAUGGAAGUAAAAAAAAAAUAAGAG
This is a long non-coding RNA of Mycetomoellerius zeteki, 566 nucleotides long. RefSeq lists it as uncharacterized. The transcript has 3 exons. Lineage: Eukaryota; Metazoa; Arthropoda; Insecta; Hymenoptera; Formicidae. The record is from RefSeq and is a predicted model, not a curated record.